This 253-nucleotide ribosomal RNA is filed under the name uncultured bacterium. RNAcentral describes it as "partial 16S ribosomal RNA". It matches the Rfam family "Bacterial small subunit ribosomal RNA", at positions 524 to 776 of the family's 1533-position model. The record is from RNAcentral.
UACGUAGGGUGCAAGCGUUAAUCGGAAUUACUGGGCGUAAAGCGUGCGCAGGCGGUUGGUUAAGUCUGAUGUGAAAGCCCCGGGCUCAACCUGGGAAUGGCAUUGGAAACUGGUCAGCUGGAGUGUGGCAGAGGGGGGUGGAAUUCCGCGUGUAGCAGUGAAACGCGUAGAGAUGCGGAGGAACACCGAUGGCGAAGGCAGCCCCCUGGGCCAACACUGACGCUCAUGCACGAAAGCGUGGGGAGCAAACAGG